AUUGAACGCUGGCGGCAGGCCUAACACAUGCAAGUCGAACGAGUGGCGGACGGGUGAGUAAUGUCUGGGAAACUGCCUGCUGGUUGGGGAUAACUACUGGAAACGGUAGCUAAUACCGCAUACUACCAGAUGUGCCCAGAUGGGAUUGGCUGGUGGGUGGGGUAACGGCUCACCACGGCGACGAUCCCUAGCUGGUCUGAGAGGAUGACGAGCAACACGGGAACUGAGACACGGUCCAGACUCCUACGGGAGGCAGCAGUGGGGAAUAUUGCACAAUGGGCGCAAGGCUGAUGCAGCCAUGCCGCGUGUAUGAAGAAGGCCUUGGGGUUGUAAAGUACUUUCAGCGGGGAGGCGUUACCCGCAGAAGAAGCACCGGCUAACUCCGUGCCAGCAGCCGCGGUAAUAC
Molecule: ribosomal RNA, 406 nt
Filed under: uncultured bacterium
Lineage: Bacteria
Description: partial 16S ribosomal RNA
Rfam family: Bacterial small subunit ribosomal RNA
Source: RNAcentral